RNAcentral lists this ribosomal RNA (858 nucleotides) under Acinetobacter sp. RKEM 817. Its description in RNAcentral is "bacterial SSU rRNA". It matches the Rfam family "Bacterial small subunit ribosomal RNA", at positions 21 to 873 of the family's 1533-position model. The record is from RNAcentral. Lineage: Bacteria; Pseudomonadati; Pseudomonadota; Gammaproteobacteria; Moraxellales; Moraxellaceae.
GGCUCAGAUUGAACGCUGGCGGCAGGCUUAACACAUGCAAGUCGAGCGGAUGAAAGUAGCUUGCUACUGGAUUCAGCGGCGGACGGGUGAGUAAUGCUUAGGAAUCUGCCUAUUAGUGGGGGACAACGUUCCGAAAGGAGCGCUAAUACCGCAUACGUCCUACGGGAGAAAGCAGGGGACCUUCGGGCCUUGCGCUAAUAGAUGAGCCUAAGUCGGAUUAGCUAGUUGGUAGGGUAAAGGCCUACCAAGGCGACGAUCUGUAGCGGGUCUGAGAGGAUGAUCCGCCACACUGGGACUGAGACACGGCCCAGACUCCUACGGGAGGCAGCAGUGGGGAAUAUUGGACAAUGGGGGGAACCCUGAUCCAGCCAUGCCGCGUGUGUGAAGAAGGCCUUUUGGUUGUAAAGCACUUUAAGCGAGGAGGAGGCUACCUAGAUUAAUACUUUAGGAUAGUGGACGUUACUCGCAGAAUAAGCACCGGCUAACUCUGUGCCAGCAGCCGCGGUAAUACAGAGGGUGCGAGCGUUAAUCGGAUUUACUGGGCGUAAAGCGUGCGUAGGCGGCCAAUUAAGUCAAAUGUGAAAUCCCCGAGCUUAACUUGGGAAUUGCAUUCGAUACUGGUUGGCUAGAGUAUGGGAGAGGAUGGUAGAAUUCCAGGUGUAGCGGUGAAAUGCGUAGAGAUCUGGAGGAAUACCGAUGGCGAAGGCAGCCAUCUGGCCUAAUACUGACGCUGAGGUACGAAAGCAUGGGGAGCAAACAGGAUUAGAUACCCUGGUAGUCCAUGCCGUAAACGAUGUCUACUAGCCGUUGGGGCCCUUGAGGCUUUAGUGGCGCAGCUAACGCGAUAAGUAGACCGCC